Molecule: long non-coding RNA, 443 nt
Filed under: Trifolium pratense (red clover)
Lineage: Eukaryota; Viridiplantae; Streptophyta; Magnoliopsida; Fabales; Fabaceae
Description: long non-coding RNA (TPRA_LNC000158)
Source: RNAcentral
GAUCCGUGUACAAGACAAAUCUGAGAACACAACCAACAGAUCGAGAACACUACUUGGCCCCCCACUAAUUAACAAUCUACCCCAAAGUUAGAAAAAGCACCCCAAUAACACUUGUCUAGUAGUGUAACUCGAAUAAACAAACCAACAUUCCACAAACACCUACCAAACCUAUGAUGUAUACCAAUAGACUACAAAAGAGCAGGGAACAAGAAACACUACAGAAGCAUCAGUCCACAGUUCCAAGCGUGAUAGCAAGCUAACUUCAAGCACAUAACGCAAAUAGCUCAAGGAGAAUACCGAACCUCUGUACUGAAAAAAGCAGAAAACUAGCAAUGAAAAAUGGAAGUAUCUCCAGCUGGUUGUGCAUUGUAUGUCUCGUUCUCAUUAGCUAAAAGAGAGCUUUGUCAACUAGAAGUAUCUCCAGCUCAGUUCCAAAAAAAAAA